This 95-nucleotide transfer RNA is filed under the name Malassezia obtusa. RNAcentral describes it as "tRNA-Pro". It matches the Rfam family "tRNA". From Rfam's summary of the family: Transfer RNA (tRNA) molecules are approximately 80 nucleotides in length. Their secondary structure includes four short double-helical elements and three loops (D, anti-codon, and T loops). Lineage: Eukaryota; Fungi; Basidiomycota; Malasseziomycetes; Malasseziales; Malasseziaceae. The record is from RNAcentral.
GGGCGCAUGGUCUAGAGGUAUGAUUCUUCUUUAGGGCUUCAGCAUCAGCUAAAAAUCCAUAGAAGAGGUCCUGGGUUCGAUUCCCAGUGCGCCCC